AAUAACAGUAACGUUCUUCAUCAGUCAGUGAAUUACCAUAGUUUGCACUUGACUGCAUGUAUUAAAUGUGGUGUGUAAAAGAGGCUUUUCAAAUUUACUAUUUGGAUGAUAUUUUCCAUCAAACUAAAGAUGCCUAUUUUGCAAGAAAAAGUAACUUUUUCACGCCACUUUUUUGAACUGAAUAUCUAGAUUACAAUAUAACAAUUUAUCACGAAUUCCGUGUUGACAACGCCAUAUAAUCGGCACAUAUUUUACGCACGCUGUUCCGAUACAUAUUCGAUCUUUGUGUCAAAAAUGAAAAUAAAUAAAUAGAAAUAGUGGGAACAAUUAUUAGGCGACUGUAAUAUGGUCGGACUAUUAGCUAGGACAGUUAAGACUAAAAAUUGUCCCAGAUAGCAUAUAGGUUAUUUCGGUCUCGUAAACUGACAUACGGCCGGGAGAGUAGUAUGCUGACCACAUGCCCCUUCAUAUCCGCAUUCACCGACGCCUGUUUUUGAGGAUGACAUUGCGGCCGGUCUGUCCCGAAAUUGUACCGUUUAUUAAGGUUUCUGUUCAGCAUUGAAGAUAAUUCAAGAAGCUGUGCACAGUGGUCACUGAAACCUGUGUUGAAGUUUCUAGCUGCACAUUCAUGGCUUUCCUUUUUAUCAGUAUCAUAUUAAUAGUGGUGCUGGAUACACUUGUAACUCUGGUAGUGGAAUCUAUAAUUGGGAACAGGUGCCUGAUGCUGUGAAGGCUACCUUCAAGUUGGUUAAAGAAUAUUUUUAUGUUUGAGUUCGGACUCCUGUACAGGCAAAUGAUGAUUGUGAGUCUUUUUGUUGUGCCUAUCUGCGACUCAGCAUCUUCGCUGUAUGUUUCACAGGCUACAAACAAGUCUGUGAUGCCCAGACCAACAUCCUAGAACGAAGUACAGGGUCUGCUGUUCAACCACGGUACAGGGCAGCCUGCCCCGAGUCACGAAAGCAGCCGCCGCUGGAGCAGAGAGCCGCCCGCUCGCUGGAGGGAGGCCAAGGCUGCUCCCCUGGAAUUGUCAGCUGUGCUGCCUGCUGUCAUCAUGGUUGCAGCCAGAGACAUCACUAACAGCUGCAUUCGAAUGACACCAUACUCAGCCCUGCCCUCUGCACCAUCAGCAAUGCCAGACGUCUAUUGUUUUGCAUUAGGCAACUGUACACUUCCACCAAGUUGUUGCUGCUGUACUAUGGCCAAGGGCUGGAAUAAAGAGGAUAAUUAAACAAG
Schistocerca gregaria is the source of this 1233-nucleotide long non-coding RNA. RefSeq lists it as uncharacterized. NCBI's taxonomy places the organism in Eukaryota, Metazoa, Arthropoda, Insecta, Orthoptera, Acrididae. The transcript is spliced from 6 exons. The record is from RefSeq and is a predicted model, not a curated record.